CAGGAAAUAACAUAGAGGUUCCAAACUUUUAAGCCGUGUCGGAUUUACAAAGAUGAAAAGGUUCUGACUAAAACAGAACAGACCUGAAGCUUCAAACUUCCCAUCUCUGAAGAGCCUGCAGCCACUACUUGCCUGUGAUGAGCUGUAGUAGUAUCACUCCAAACUGGUACACAUUUCCUUUCUCUCCAUCUUCGUUACUGCAAUCAGUUCACAAACAAGUUUAUAUUCAACCUUAUGAUGGGUUCUGCUCGUGAAAGGAUUACUGGUGAUUUUCCAAGAGUCACAAACUUGGUACUCAGAUUAUAAGCUUUGAUAUUACGCUUGCACGAAAUGCACUACAGAGGUACGUAUUGAAAACAAAAUGCUUACAAAAAUCUGAUGGUGAACUUAAAGGCUACACUGCACUAAAGAUUUUUGUUCUCAGAAAUAAGUUCAUCUUCAACAAACGGGAUGGUUUUCCGAACAAUUACCCUCAUAGGAGCUCCUGCAAGAAGGACAAAGUUGUGAUGAAGAAACCACUAAAUGAACAAUUACCC
RNAcentral lists this long non-coding RNA (536 nucleotides) under Arabidopsis thaliana (thale cress). RNAcentral's name for it is "long non-coding RNA (ATHA_LNC000670)". The record is from RNAcentral. Lineage: Eukaryota; Viridiplantae; Streptophyta; Magnoliopsida; Brassicales; Brassicaceae.